Phyllostomus discolor (pale spear-nosed bat) is the source of this 667-nucleotide long non-coding RNA. RefSeq lists it as uncharacterized. The record is from RefSeq and is a predicted model, not a curated record. The transcript has 3 exons. Lineage: Eukaryota; Metazoa; Chordata; Mammalia; Chiroptera; Phyllostomidae.
GAAGAGGCAAGUUGAGGCAAGACGCCAGAGAUGGAAAAACAAACAGAACAGGAAGUGUCCGAAACAAUUUAGAAUCAUAUCAUUUAGUCUCUCCAAUGUAUUGUCCUCAAAAUACACCUGUUGUUCACCAGUGACAACGAACAAAGAUUAUAAAUCUCCACAUAACACACUUUCCUGUUUGUUGGAUCUUACAAGGAAAUAAUCCUCUCAAAUUCUAUAUGGAAAGUUAAACCAAAAAAAAAAUAUCACACAUUGAUUUACAAAAACUAGUGCACCGGGGUCACUGGAAGAUAAUUUUCAUGCUUCCCUAUCAGAAGCCUCGAGAGGACUCCCGUACCGGAUCUUGUGUUUGAUCCUAUCAUAGCAACCUGUUCUCUUUAACUAUCGGACUCACUAUGUGUUAGCCUGUGUCCAGUGCCUAAGAGCGCGUUAAUUACCUAAACUAUAUCUCCAUAGGUCUUGUUAAUUACCCGUCUCCUGUCUCAGAGGACCUUGUUAAUAACUUGUACAGUCUCUCUAAAGAGGUCCUAACAACACAUUAAAAUUAAAGAUGCUUUUCUUUUAGCACCUGUCAAGUGCUGUAAAUUGAGAAAUUUUCACAUCAGUUUAUUAGCCUACAGUAGGUUUCAUGGAUUUGUUUUUUGGGGUUUUUUUUUGGCUUGUUUUC